CAGAGGGUGCGAGCGUUAAUCGGAAUUACUGGGCGUAAAGCGUGCGUAGACGGUUAUUUAAGUCGGGUGUGAAAGCCCCGGGCUCAACCUGGGAAUUGCAUUCGAGACUGAAUAGCUAGGGUACGGUAGAGGGAAGUGGAAUUUCCGGUGUAGCGGUGAAAUGCGUAGAUAUCGGAAGGAACAUCAGUGGCGAAAGCGACUUCCUGGACCAGUACCGACGUUCAGGCACGAAAGCGUGGGGAGCAAACAGGAUUAGAUACCCUGGUAGUCCACGCCAUAAACGAUGAGGACUAGACGUUGGAAGGGUAAGCCUUUCAGUGUCGUAGCUAACGCGCUAAGUCCUCCGCCUGGGGAGUACGGCCGCAAGGUUG
This 371-nucleotide ribosomal RNA is filed under the name uncultured organism. Its description in RNAcentral is "bacterial SSU rRNA". It matches the Rfam family "Bacterial small subunit ribosomal RNA", at positions 526 to 896 of the family's 1533-position model. The record is from RNAcentral.